GCAGUGGUGGUUCAGUGGUAGAAUUCUUGCCUUCCAUGCAAGAAACCCUGGUUUGAUUCCUGUCCAGGGCA
This 71-nucleotide transfer RNA is filed under the name Loxodonta africana (African savanna elephant). It matches the Rfam family "tRNA". From Rfam's summary of the family: Transfer RNA (tRNA) molecules are approximately 80 nucleotides in length. Their secondary structure includes four short double-helical elements and three loops (D, anti-codon, and T loops). The record is from Rfam by way of RNAcentral. Lineage: Eukaryota; Metazoa; Chordata; Mammalia; Proboscidea; Elephantidae.